UAUAUAUAUAUAUAUAUAUGGCAUAGGCAACUUAAACCAUGCCAGAGGGAAUUGAAAAUAGGGACCUACAGGAGAAACAAGAAAGAAUGAAUACUAGUUGGCUCUACUCAAUAGGAAGACCCAGGGAGAAGUUGGAAUUAACUCAGAUUUCCAGCCUGGGUGACUCUGAAUGGCUGUGAAUGGCAGUGUUCUUAACAGGGAUUGAGAAGGAACAUAGGAAUAGAACAGCAUUACCCUUGGACAGUGAAUUUAAGGUGUUGCCUAUUGGACAUCUGCCAUGUCUUGUCACUUUUCGAUACGGGUCUGGCCCUCAGGCAAUAGCAGAGAUUUGAAUGGAACUGUAGAGUCACAAGUCAUCUUUAUAGACAUGUUAGUUGAAGCCAUACGCAUAGAUGAGCUCAUCUGGGAGAUGAAUUUAAAUCAAAGAGAUCAAAAUUUCCUUGUUUCACUUAAGUAAUCUUCUUAGCCAUUUACUCUUAUUGUGAGCCUGGCUUUUCCACCUGACCAAGUUCUACUUGUUCCAGGAAUUCAAAGAUAAACCGGGCUCUAUUAUUUCUUUCUGAUUGAUUGAUAUUUGGUUUCUAAAAGAAAUUUUCUUCCUUCUCUACAUUCACAAACUCUUCCAUUCUUUUGCCACAUUUUAUACACUUAAGUUUAAACCAGUUUCCAUGUAUAUUUUGUCUAUAUUAUGUUUGUUAUUGAGAAAUAGGCAUUUUUGGGAAGAAAGAAUUUGGCAUUUUGGAAAUAAUCAAAAAAUUAAAAAAUACACGCACCACUUUCCCAUUCUUCUCCCCACCCCAACCCCUACCCCUAUCCUCAAAUGCUUAGCUAGUGAAAUAUUAAAAUGUUGUAAUAGAAAUUGGAGUCAAGGUCUCCUGGCUGAAGAGACCAUCUAUUUUCAGAGACUGGAAGGAGAGAGAACAAACCAAUCAAGAGUCAUUGGUUUGUUGCCUCUAUUGUUUUAUUUCUGACCUGGGCAAAUAGCUUUUGAAGUGGAGAUAUGCUAGUUCUUGGCAACUAAUACUUUUCUGGGCAUGCAUUUUAUGAAAUAAUAGGUAUGUAUCUGCCUCAUUCUUUUAGGCUAUGUGUUUCUCUAGUUUAAAAAUAAUUUGCCAAUGAAGGUCUAUCUGUAUUUAUGCAAUCCCUAAAUUUGUAUUUACCUUACGUGCGUAUGUUUUAAAUGUGUGUAUGGAGGCUUUUUUUGGAUGCUGUAGAUGGGAGAGAGUGCCAUCAUCUAGUACACUGUUAUAUGCCACAAGAAAUAAUUGCACAGCCAUUUCUUAAUUUUAAGGUUUUUCUUUUCAACAGGUUUUGCACUGAUUGCAAAAAUAAAGUCCUCCGAGCAUACAAUAUCCUUAUUGGUGAACUUGACUGCAGCAAAGAAAAGGGCUACUGUGCUGCACUUUAUGAAGGCUUGCGGUGCUGUCCACAUGAACGACACAUACAUGUUUGCUGUGAAACAGACUUCAUUGCACAUCUUUUGGGUCGUGCUGAGCCAGAGUUCGCAGGAGGGCGAAGAGAAAGGCAUGCAAAGACAAUAGAUAUAGCUCAAGAAGAAGUUCUGACCUGCUUGGGAAUUCAUCUUUAUGAAAGACUGCAUCGAAUCUGGCAGAAACUACGGGCAGAAGAGCAGACAUGGCAGAUGCUUUUCUAUCUUGGUGUUGAUGCUUUACGCAAGAGUUUUGAGAUGACCGUGGAAAAAGUACAGGGUAUUAGCAGAUUGGAACAACUUUGUGAGGAAUUUUCAGAAGAGGAACGAGUAAGAGAACUCAAGCAAGAAAAGAAACGCCAAAAACGGAAGAAUAGACGAAAAAAUAAGUGUGUGUGUGAUAUUCCUACUCCCUUACAAACAGCAGAUGAAAAGGAAGUAAGCCAAGAGAAGGAAACAGACUUCAUAGAAAAUAGCAGCUGCAAAGCCUGUGGCAGCACUGAAGAUGGUAAUACUUGUGUAGAAGUAAUUGUUACCAAUGAAAAUACAUCAUGUACCUGUCCUAGCAGUGGCAAUCUUUUGGGGUCCCCUAAAAUAAAGAAAGGCUUAUCUCCACACUGUAAUGGUAGUGAUUGUGGAUAUUCAUCUAGCAUGGAAGGGAGUGAAACAGGUUCUCGGGAGGGUUCGGAUGUUGCCUGCACUGAAGGCAUUUGUAAUCAUGAUGAACACGGUGAUGACUCUUGUGUUCAUCACUGUGAAGACAAAGAGGAUGAUGGUGAUAGUUGUGUUGAAUGUUGGGCAAAUUCUGAAGAGAACGACACAAAAGGAAAAAAU
Molecule: small RNA, 2263 nt
Filed under: Pan troglodytes (chimpanzee)
Lineage: Eukaryota; Metazoa; Chordata; Mammalia; Primates; Hominidae
Description: retained intron
Source: RNAcentral